RNAcentral lists this ribosomal RNA (775 nucleotides) under uncultured Neocallimastigales. RNAcentral describes it as "partial large subunit ribosomal RNA". It matches the Rfam family "Eukaryotic large subunit ribosomal RNA", at positions 25 to 644 of the family's 3401-position model. Lineage: Eukaryota; Fungi; Neocallimastigomycota; Neocallimastigomycetes; Neocallimastigales. The record is from RNAcentral.
UCGUCUAUAUACGUAUAGCAUAUCAAUAAGCGGAGGAAAAGAAACUAACAAGGAUUCCCUUAGUAACGGCGAGUGAAGCGGGAAGAGCUCAAAUUUGAAAUCUUCAAGGUUCUACCUUGACGAAUUGUAGUUUAUAGAAGUGUUUUCUGUUAGAUGAGUAGCAAAAGUUCCUUGGAAUAGGACAUCAUAGAGGGUGAGAAUCCCGUAUUUGGUCAUUCCUCCUAGCGUUGUGAUACACUUUCAACGAGUCGGAUUGUUUGGGAAUGCAGUCCAAAAUGGGUGGUAAAUUUCAUCUAAAGCUAAAUAUUGGCGAGAGACCGAUAGCGAACAAGUACCGUGAGGGAAAGAUGAAAAGAACUUUGAAAAGAGAGUUAAACAGUACGUGAAAUUGUCAAAAGGGAAGCGUUUGACACCAGUGUUGUUUUUCCGAAAAUCAAUUACGAAUGGCUUGAUUUUGUGUUGUAUUGACCUUAUCAGCUUUCUGCACUUUUUUCGAGUCUUUCUUAAUGCACUUUUUGGUUAACAAGUCAACAUCAAUUUCUUUUGUUGUAAAAGAGUAUUCGGAAGGUGGCUUUCUUUUCGGAGAAAGUGUUUAUAGCCCUAUACUUCUACAAUCGGAGAGAUUGAGGUCUGCAGCGUAGAUCCUUCGGGGUUAGAUACAUUUGUGCUAAGUUGUAGCUUUUCAUAGACAACUUGUUGACUAUGUUUAGUCAUGCGGCUUACUCGCUUAUGCUAUUUUACCUACGCUUAGGAUGUUGACUGAUAUGUAGUCGUA